Non-coding RNA from Oryza barthii, 206 nucleotides. Lineage: Eukaryota; Viridiplantae; Streptophyta; Magnoliopsida; Poales; Poaceae. The record is from Rfam.
AAAAAGACAAACCUUAGAUUUUCAUGUCCAACAUUUAACUGUCCGUCUUAUAUAAAUUUUUUUUAUAAUUAGUAUUUUUAUUGUUGUUAGAUGAUAAAAUAUGAUUAAUACUUAUACGUGACUUGUCUUUUUAAUUUUUUUCAUAAUUUUUUUAAAUAAAACGGACGGUCAAACGUUGGACACGGAAAGUCAGGGUUUGUCUUUUU